GGUGAGCGGCAGGGAAGAGAAGGGGCGUGGCCUGGAAGAGAGGGGGCGUGGCCAAAGUCUUAUGGAGGCAGUCUUUGGUUUUAGAAAUACCAUGAACUACAUCACAGAGAUAUAUUGAAUCAAUGACACAAGCAAGCUUUCUGCGCAUGAUUUUUAUUUGGAACCGGAUAUGAGCUGAAGCAUUUGUUUCAGUGAAAAGAGAUCAGCAAAAACAUGGACCAAAACUGAAAGAGAGAGAGGAAGAAUGAGCAUUCCUCCUUUCCUAAAGCAGUUUGCAAAGUCAGGAAGGUUUCCCAUAUGAACCUGAAUCAGGAACAAAAUGACAAAGUCCCCUACCUUUUUGGGUGGCUGCUAUUCAGAUAGCUGGAAGUGCUGUAACUUAAUUUCUCCAGUUCAGAUAAGUCAACCAUGCUGCGACUAGCAAAGGAAGAGGGAAAAGACAACUAGAUUACUGCAUUCAAGAGCCCCUGAAAAGCUCAUGAGGAUUCUUGGUUGUUGUUCAGUUUUCAUCACAAGAAGAAAUAACAGUUUAUUCAGACAAUGAUUGCAAAUGAAAACUUUUCGACUGCCUUCUUUUUUGCUGCAAAUAAACUACAACUGCCCCAGGCACCAUGAUAAAAAGGACUUUUCAGAGGAUAUUCUAAUUGUAUUGUUUUACUUUUAAUUUUUUUAAUCACAAUGUGAUAUUUUAAUCUUAUUUUAAUGUUGAAUUUUUAAAUGGUUUUAGCUAUGUAGUACUCAUUUUAAUUUGCAAGCCAUCUUGAGUCCCAGUUUUGGAGAAAAGACAAGGUUUAAAUAAAGUUAAUAACAUUAAGAAAGGAUCCUUAACAGUAUGAAACCUCUUUGUUUUGCCAGUGUAUUAAAACAAGAAACAACAAAAAGCGAAGAAACCAUUAACAUUAGCAAAACAGAGAAAAUUAUUUUUUUCUCCUCCAGUUCUCCAUAUUAUCAAGAAGACAUAAACAUUCCUUCCCAUAAAAAGACACGAGAAA
Molecule: long non-coding RNA, 992 nt
Organism: Sceloporus undulatus (fence lizard)
Lineage: Eukaryota; Metazoa; Chordata; Lepidosauria; Squamata; Phrynosomatidae
Exons: 3
Source: RefSeq, a predicted model, not a curated record